GGAGAAGCAGUUGAUUCUAUUGAUUCGUGUCUACUACUGUAGUAAUUGAACAGUUCAGCCCCAACUGGAUAAAGAAGUGAUGAAUUAUUGCGAACAGCUCAUAUGAUACAAUUCAGGAUCAAGUGAUGAAGUGACCGAGGUUGAAGGUGUUAAUGAUGUCCAUCUGCCAUUCAAUUAUAAGGAUCCCGAGAGCAUUCUAUCUUGUCUCAAGCUGAAAAGGACCACGUGCUAUAUUAAAAGCUCUUAUAUAUUUGCCUGCAUCCUGCAAAUUCUUUCUGCUGUUGCUGAAGGGAAUUCAACACUCCGGAAUUUGAUAACAUCUACAAACGAUACCUUGCAACUCGUGCCAAGUUAUUUGAAUUCAGCGAAUAUAUCUGAUUGCAGCAUUCAAAGAUUUAUUUUUGAAAAGUUGUUUUGGUCACAGAAAUCAACUUCGAGAUCGUAAUAAUAGGGUUGAGUAUAAAAUCAGCUUGUCUGAUCAUAUCGUUCAUACUUGGCAAAAAUGCAUGAGUAAAAAGCCCAGUUUCAUAGAAAAAUACUGGUGCAGCUGUGACCUCACUGGAGGUGUUUGUCUCCUUCAAUCUGCUAGUGUGAACCUUUUGCGGAGUAAUUUUCAAGGUCUAGAGAAGGUCUUGGAUGUUCAUAAGAGGUGAAAUGUCCUAAGUGCCUGCCAAAUAAGCCCACUGAGUCAAAGUCCAAAAGAAUUUGUUUUCAAAGAUCGUCACGGGUUGAGCAGCGUUGUUGUGCAAAACUCCGACGGUGUGCAUGUGGUAUUUUGUAUGUGGAUGGAUGGAACUUGGACAUUGCAGUCGAAGCUUUUGCAGCCCAACUAAAAUAAUCCUGAAUCAACCAUCAAUCAAGCCCACGAGGCACUUUACGUAAUUCUCGAGGAGCUUGCGGAGUUAAAAAAAAUUCUAUAUUAUGCGGAUCAAUAGAAACUAAAGAUUGAAUUAAACUUUAGGUUCAAUUUCGAAAAGAUUUUUGAUAUAUUUUUUGAGCUUUUCUUAACAUUCUUAAUCUCGAUCCCAUGAUAAAAUAUCCGCGAACGUUAGUCUUCUUCUAUUAGAACCCUGACUAUCAGCCCAAGAUAUACCGAACCUGAAACGCAAGUCCUGUGACACCUGGAGCACACGUGAGCAGGUUUGUCUGCUCUCAACUAUGUUGAAGUCAGGGGAUGUUUUCACUCAACUUAGUCAAAUGAAUUGUUUCUUCUUGUUAUUCCCUUUUUUUAAUAAUUGAAAUAAAUUAGACAACACAGUUUUUUGAUUACACAAAUGCUCACGUAUAUUUAAUUCACUCAAGGUAAAAUAAUAGUUUUAUCUGCUUAAAUUAUUGAAUUGAUGGACUGGUUGUCCUGUGGAAUACUACUACUCGAAAGGUA
Long non-coding RNA from Diachasmimorpha longicaudata, 1381 nucleotides. RefSeq lists it as uncharacterized. The transcript has 3 exons. The record is from RefSeq and is a predicted model, not a curated record. Lineage: Eukaryota; Metazoa; Arthropoda; Insecta; Hymenoptera; Braconidae.